UCGCAUGGACGAAAGUCUGACGGAGCAACGCCGCGUGAGUGAUGAAGGCUUUCGGGUCGUAAAACUCUGUUGUUAGGGAAGAACAAGUGCUAGUUGAAUAAGCUGGCACCUUGACGGUACCUAACCAGAAAGCCACGGCUAACUACGUGCCAGCAGCCGCGGUAAUACGUAGGUGGCAAGCGUUAUCCGGAAUUAUUGGGCGUAAAGCGCGCGCAGGUGGUUUCUUAAGUCUGAUGUGAAAGCCCACGGCUCAACCGUGGAGGGUCAUUGGAAACUGGGAGACUUGAGUGCAGAAGAGGAAAGUGGAAUUCCAUGUGUAGCGGUGAAAUGCGUAGAGAUAUGGAGGAACACCAGUGGCGAAGGCGACUUUCUGGUCUGUAACUGACACUGAGGCGCGAAAGCGUGGGGAGCAAACAGGAUUAGAUACCCUGGUAGUCCACGCCGUAAACGAUGAGUGCUAAGUGUUAGAGGGUUUCCGCCCUUUAGUGCUGAAGUUAACGCAUUAAGCACUCCGCCUGGGGAGUACGG
Molecule: ribosomal RNA, 528 nt
Filed under: Bacillus sp. CO15
Lineage: Bacteria; Bacillati; Bacillota; Bacilli; Caryophanales; Bacillaceae
Description: bacterial SSU rRNA
Rfam family: Bacterial small subunit ribosomal RNA
Source: RNAcentral